Molecule: ribosomal RNA, 498 nt
Filed under: uncultured bacterium
Lineage: Bacteria
Description: partial 16S ribosomal RNA
Rfam family: Bacterial small subunit ribosomal RNA
Source: RNAcentral
AUUGAACGCUGGCGGCAUGCUUUACACAUGCAAGUCGAACGGUAACAGGCCGCAAGGUGCUGACGAGUGGCGAACGGGUGAGUAAUGCAUCGGAACGUGCCCAGUCGUGGGGGAUAACGCAGCGAAAGCUGCGCUAAUACCGCAUACGAUCUCUGGAUGAAAGCGGGGGGCCGUAAGGCCUCGCGCGAUUGGAGGGGCCGAUGGGAGAUUAGGUAGUUGGUGGGGGAAGGGGCCACCAAGCCAACGAUCUGUAGCUGGUAUGAGAGGACGACCAGCCACACUGGGACGGGGACUGGGGCCGGACUCCGACGGGGGGCAGCAGUGGGGAAUUUUGGAGAAUGGGCGCAAGCCUGAUCCAGCAAUGCCGCGUGAAUGAAGCAGGCCGUCGUGUUGUAAACUGCUUUUGUACGGAACGAAACGGUCUGAGUUAAUACCCUGGGCUAAUGACGGUACCGUAAGAAUAAGCACCGGCUAACUACGUGCCAGCCGCCGCAGUAA